GCAUCGAUGAAGAACGCAGCGAAAUGCGAUAAGUAAUGUAUGAGAUUGCAGNAUUUCAGUGAAUCAUCGAAUCUUUGAACGCACAUUGCGGCCCCUUGGUAUUCCGAGGGGCAUGCCUGUUCGAGCGUCAUU
This 132-nucleotide ribosomal RNA is filed under the name Endomelanconiopsis endophytica. Its description in RNAcentral is "partial 5.8S ribosomal RNA". It matches the Rfam family "5.8S ribosomal RNA", at positions 30 to 154 of the family's 154-position model. From Rfam's summary of the family: 5.8S ribosomal RNA (5.8S rRNA) is a component of the large subunit of the eukaryotic ribosome. It is transcribed by RNA polymerase I as part of the 45S precursor that also contains 18S and 28S rRNA. Lineage: Eukaryota; Fungi; Ascomycota; Dothideomycetes; Botryosphaeriales; Botryosphaeriaceae. The record is from RNAcentral.